GGCCGAGUGGCGGAACUGGCAGACGCACGGGACUUAAAAUCCUGUAUCUCGAAAGAGGUGUGUGGGUUCGAAUCCCACCUCGGCCAC
RNAcentral lists this transfer RNA (87 nucleotides) under Planctomycetaceae bacterium. RNAcentral describes it as "tRNA-Leu". It matches the Rfam family "tRNA". Rfam says of the family: Transfer RNA (tRNA) molecules are approximately 80 nucleotides in length. Their secondary structure includes four short double-helical elements and three loops (D, anti-codon, and T loops). Further hydrogen bonds mediate the characteristic L-shaped molecular structure. tRNAs have two regions of fundamental functional importance: the anti-codon, which is responsible for specific mRNA codon recognition, and the 3' end, to which the tRNAs corresponding amino acid is attached (by aminoacyl-tRNA synthetases). tRNAs cope with the degeneracy of the genetic code in two manners: having more than one tRNA (with a specific anti-codon) for a particular amino acid; and 'wobble' base-pairing, i.e. permitting non-standard base-pairing at the 3rd anti-codon position. The record is from RNAcentral. Lineage: Bacteria; Pseudomonadati; Planctomycetota; Planctomycetia; Planctomycetales; Planctomycetaceae.